AACAUCAAGCGGCGGCGGUGCAGUCUGUCGCCUCACCUCCUCAACCCGAUGAAAUUUCUCAAGUGGACAAGAUCAACUUCAUUGUAAAAUGUGCUGGAAAGAGCAUGACCGUAGACGUGUUCCCACUUGAAAGGAUCUCUGUUUUUCUGAAGGAGGCAUGUGAACAGGCAGUGAAGAAACCUGAGAAAAUGAAUCUUAUUUAUGAUGGAAAUGUUCUGGAUGUGAACAAGACAGUGAGUCAGUUUAACCUACGAGGAGGAUCUACAGUGAAUCUAAUUCAUGCCUGCUAGCAGAUGUACAGCACCACUGCGACAUGAGAAGCCUCCGUAUUCCUCUAUACUACUAUAAGUAUAAUGUAGGAAUACAGACAAUUUCAAAGUGACAACAUGAACAAACGUUACUGCGUGCGUUCGUGGACGGCCCUUCACUUCCGGCACACCUUCUUAUUUAUUUUAGUAAAUUGUUUUGUGUUAUUUCAUCUUGUCCUGUCUCCACAAUUAUUAACCCACAAUUAAAAUCUCUUACAUGACCAUGAAUAACUUUCAAGGUCUACCCUGGUAAUGAAACGUUUUUAUUUGGACUCCACGUUGACAGCAUUGAAAUUAGUGUGUGAGAAGAUUUAAGAAAAGUGCCUCACAAUAUUCAGUUAGGUCUUCGCUUCACAGCAAGACACACAUUGUUGGUUCCAAGCGUGAAAACAUUUAAAGAAAAUAAAUUCUACUCGGUUUCAUUACAAAUACCAUUACGUAAGGUCCUUUGAGUACUGUGUUAUUAAUCUUAUUCCAAUAAAAUGGAAUGUUAUUCCCACCAGUCAUUUCCAUUAAAACCACUGCAAUGACCAACUUUACAGACUUGAACACAACUGUUGUGAUACUUCUUUUGACACUGCACGGCAAUUUUCGGAUUAAGACAAAAUUGUUGAUUUCUUGCGGAAGAGAAAAACGGUACGGAUGGCUCCGUGAAAGACAGAAACAAUCCAUCACUGACAGAAAUAAUAUAAUAAUAAUAAUAUGAAAACCAACCAUCCAACCAUUCCUACCUAGAUACUUGAAACAGAGGGGUAAGCACACAACGCCUGAAUACAACAUAUAAAAGGUAAAAAACGUAAACGUUAAAGUUUCUUUACACAUUCAAAGCAAUGUUUUUAAACUGCCCUAACAGGUUUGAUUGGUUUUAAGUGGCGGAUGCAAUUUUACACCUGUUCAUUUAACCAUGACUUCAACGCAGGCUUUUUGGGAAGGGUGGAAUCCACGAUAUCUGAUCUAGAUCAAUUGGUAGCCUUUCAUGGCCAAAGUGAGAUUUGCUUGAUUCCUAAAUGUCUAUGAACGUAUAAUGGUAUUUUUUUUCUUAUGUACAGUCAAAAACCUACAAACAGGGCCUUUAAAGGGAAAGUUCACCCAAAAAUGAAAAUUCUGUCAUCAUUUACUCACCCUGAGGUUGUUCCAAACCUGUAUACAUUUCUUUGUUCUGCUGAACACAAAGGAAGAUAUUUGGAAAAGAUGUCAUUAACCCAACAGAUCUCAUUCCCCCAUUUACUGCCAUUGUAGGGGAAAUAAUGGGAGUCCAUGGGGGGUUUUUAAUUUUUGGAUGAACCAUCCUUCAACUAUUCCUAUUUCAUGAUCAAUGGACUCUGAUCUCUGAAUCAUUUAUGACGUGCACUUGAGACACCGAGAGAUUUAAAUGUAAUAAAUCAUCUCCAGUAGUCCAACCCACAGGGAAUUUUGAAAGGAAGUUCAUAGAAAGUUUUUCAUUCAAUAUUUGCAUUUAAAAAGAAAAUGAAAGUGACACAGCCAGUCGGCAUAUAUAAAGGCUCCACACAAGACUCAACACAUUUGAAGCCAACAUGGGUGCCAUCUACAGCUAUUUCUUUGGUGAGAAUGAGCCGGUGAAGCCGGAAAGCAGCAGCUUAACCCCUGACUUCAGUUUAACAAUUGAGGGAGAGCCACCAGAGAGUUCAAACAUACCCUAAUGAUCCGACGGUCUCUGAGCGCACCUGAAUGACAUCUCACUCUGGAUGAAGGACCAUCACCUGCAGCUGAACCUUGCAAAAACGACCCGAAGACUCAGCACGACCUUUCCAUCCAACUAGGUUCAUCAACCAUUACUCCUUCCAGAACGGCCAGAAAUCUGGGAGUGGUAAUUGAUGAUCAGCUGAACUUCGCGGAUCAUGUGGCCAGCACCACCCGGUCCUGUAGGUUCAUCCUCUACAAUAUCAGGAGAAUUAGACCUUUCCUGUCUGAGCAUGCUAUGCAAGUUCUUGUCCAGGCUCUUGUCCUGUCCAGACUGGACCACUGCAAUGCUCUACUGUCUGGUCUUCCAGCUUGUACAACCAGACCUCUUCAGAUAUCUUUUCAGCCCAGUGUAAUAGAAAUAUAGAGGUAGGUCAGUUUCACUUGUGGCUUUGAGUAUCAUCAACAGUCAGCUGCCAGACCACCCCCUAGCAACCAAACAGAGUGCCUUAGCAACCACUUCGAAAACCUAUAUCUCAGCAGCAGAACAUAGAGACAUGGCUGUUUGUUCGCUUCAUUUGCGGCUUCGAGCAAUAUCAAUUGUCAGGUGCCAGACCACUCCCUAGCAACCAAAUAGAGUACCCAAGCAACCAUUUAGAAAAUAUCUGCAUAAGAACAUCGUAGAGACAUGGGGUGUGCUAUCCUAUGCUAUCAUAACAGAGUUUUGCCAC
Triplophysa rosa is the source of this 2680-nucleotide long non-coding RNA. RefSeq lists it as uncharacterized. The record is from RefSeq and is a predicted model, not a curated record. Lineage: Eukaryota; Metazoa; Chordata; Actinopteri; Cypriniformes; Nemacheilidae. The transcript has 4 exons.